RNAcentral lists this ribosomal RNA (1239 nucleotides) under metagenome. RNAcentral's name for it is "bacterial LSU rRNA". It matches the Rfam family "Bacterial large subunit ribosomal RNA", at positions 1564 to 2813 of the family's 2925-position model. The record is from RNAcentral.
UGAUGACGAGACGCUAAGGCGUUGAAGCAGUGUAUGUCAGACUUCCAAGAAAAGCUCGCAAUGUCACAAAUAAGAAAUGCCUGUACCAUAACCGACACAGGUGGGUAGGUAGAGUAUACUAAGGGGCGCGAGAUAACUCUCUCUAAGGAACUCGGCAAAAUGACUCCGUAACUUCGGGAGAAGGAGUGCCUUAUUUAUAAGGUUGCAAUAACAAGAUCCAAGCAACUGUUUAUCAAAAACACAGGUCUCCGCUAAGUCGUAAGACGAUGUAUGGGGGCUGACGCCUGCCCAGUGCCAGAAGGUUAAAGAAGUUGGUUAGUGUAUGCGAAGCUGAUGACUGAAGCCCUGGUGAACGGCGGCCGUAACAAUAACGGUCCUAAGGUAGCGAAAUUCCUUGUCGGGUAAGUUCCGACCCGCACGAAAGGCGUAAUGAUUUGGAUACUGUCUCGGAGAGAGGCUCGGUGAAAUAGACUUGUCUGUGAAGAUGCGGACUACCUGCACCAGGACAGAAAGACCCUAUGAAGCUUUACUGUAACUUGAAAUUGGAAUUGGACUUUGCUUGCGCAGUAUAGGUGGGAAGCGUUGAAAAUAUUCUUGCGGGAGUAUUGGAGCUAUCAGUGAGAUACCACUCUUGUAAUGUUAGAUUUCUAACUUUGAACCAUAAUCUGGUCAAAGAACAGUUUCAGGUGGGCAGUUUGACUGGGGCGGUCGCCUCCCAAAUGGUAACGGAGGCGUACAAAGGUUUCCUCUGAACGGAUAGAAAUCGUAUCUAGAGUGUAAAGGCAUAAGGAAGCUUGACUGUGAGACCUACAAGUCGAGCAGGGACGAAAGUCGGUCUUAGUGAUCUGACGGUACUGAGUGGAAAGGCCGUCACUCAACGGAUAAAAGUUACUCUAGGAUAACAGGCUGAUCUCCCCCAAGAGUUCACAUCGACGGGGAGGUUUGGCACCUCGAUGUCGGCUCAUCGCAUCCUGGGGCGGUAGUACGUCCCAAGGGUUGGGCUGUUCGCCCAUGAAAGCGGUACGCGAGCUGGGUUCAGAACGUCGUGAGACAGUUCGGUCCAUAUCCGGUGUAGGCGCUAGAAUAUUGAGAGGAGCCUUCUUUAGUACGAGAGGACCGAGAAGGACACACCGCUGGUGUACCAGUUAUCGUGCCAACGGUAAACGCUGGGUAGCUAUGUGUGGAGUGGAUAACCGCUGAAAGCAUCUAAGUGGGAAGCCCACCUCGAGAUGAGUAUUC